RNAcentral lists this long non-coding RNA (1235 nucleotides) under Apis dorsata (giant honeybee). Its description in RNAcentral is "uncharacterized LOC102673397, transcript variant X5". Lineage: Eukaryota; Metazoa; Arthropoda; Insecta; Hymenoptera; Apidae. The record is from RNAcentral.
AUUACAAUUCCUGCCAUUAAUGUUGCUUAUAUUUCACGCAACCCGUGUAAGUCGUAAGCGUGUAUUAUCGCGAGGUUUCUCGAUGUGUAGUUGCCUACCAUAAGUCAUCGGAACAAUGCACGAGCACAUAGGUAUUAUUUACUCUACCUUCGUACUCGAGCUAUGAUCUAUACUCUAUGCGAGUAGUCUGCCAUCUAUACUUAUUUCCAUGUACUUGUUUCUCGAUUAAUGUCUCCCGAUUAUUAAAAAUUAACACGUCGAAUCAUUUGUAAAUGUAUAUCAAUUACUCGCAAUAGGUACAUACGCGAUGUAACGAUAAAGUAUUAUAUCCUUUUUCAUCCUUCAAACGAUUCAAAGUGUAGUUUGGAAUGUUACGAGGCGGAAUUGGCGCUUGUAAAAGUUAACAGGAAACAUAUCCGGGUUCAACCAGCUAUAUUUCACGAGUCGAAGUCUUGUAAGAGGAGAAACACGUAAAGAUAGUUGCAUAAAGGCACGUAGUUAAAUUGCGGCCAUUAUCGCGGAGAUCAAAUGAUGAAUACUGAUUCGAGAAAUAUGAGGUUUGCGCGAACUCAACAGUGUGCAACCACGUAUCGAUUCACGUUGAUCGAUCCAUCGUAGUUAACGACCAUAGAUGGACAAGAAUUGCAAAAAGUAAUUAAAGCCGAUUGGUUACGAAUUAUAAUCAUGCUUGUAAAUUAAUUUUCGAUAUACUACCGAGAUAUCGUCUUAGAUAUAGACGAACGAUCAAUGCAAAAUUAAAGAUAUGGCUUCUCUUAGUCGGACCACAAAUUAUAAUCAUCCUUGUAAAUUAAUUUGCGAUAUACUACCGAGAUAUGGUUUUAGAUAUAGACGAACGAUCAAUGAAAAAUUAAAGAUAUGGCUUCUCUUAGUCGGACCACAAAUUAUAAUCAUUCUUGUAAAUUAAUUUUUGAUAUACUACCAAGAUAUCGUCUCAGAUAUAAGCGAAUGAUCAAUGAAAAAUUAAGAAACUUUCAGAAUAUCAGUUUCUUUUUUUGAUACCACAAAUUAUAAUCAAGCUUAUAAAUUAAUUUUCGAUAUAGUAUCGUCUCAGAUAUAGGCAAACGAUCAAUGAAAAAUUAAGAAAGGUAUGUAUAUUUUGAUUGCAUUUAAGUUAGAUUAAGUAAUACGUUUAUGAUUCCAGAUAUGGGCUCUCUUUUAGUAUCACGAAUUAUAAUCAAGCUUGCAAAUUAAUUUUCAUUAUCGUGUCGGAUAUA